GGGUGUGGUACUGAGGCUUCAGCGGGUGCCGCCCGCCUAGAGGGAGUGGAGCGGUGAGCACGUCAGGGGUGGGGGGCGCAGGUCAAGCUUUCACCAGUUUUUAAUUCUUUGAUGGGGUAAAUUUGAGCAAUUUUCUCGACUUGUCGACAUUCGUUAUUAACUGAGCAGGAAUCAGGAGAGGAACCCGGUCCUCUCCACACAGCCCAGCAGAGAGCCUACGACUAGAUUUGCAUCUUUACGUCCUGCGCGGAGGCUGCUACACACAUGCAGAAGUCAUGCUGGUGGCCUGGACAUUGAAGGGAGAGAAGUGGAUUUGGGAGACAUUUAGGAGGAACAGUAAGAGGACCUUGUGCAUGAAUAAUUUGUUUCCACACUACAGAGUGGGUAAUAAGCAGAUUAGUAAAAACAAUUCUGCUUCACUUCAAUAACAGCCUCCUCCAACUCAUUUUUUCUCAACAAACUUAUUUUUCCAGCAGAAGAAUCCCAGUCUUCUUAGAGAACCCAGUGACUUUUUGCACCUUAAAUCUGUGAAAUCCUCAUGUUUUCUUCUGCCGUAUCCAUAGUUCAAACAAAGAUGAGGCAAAGCUAGAUGCAUUCCUGAAGGAACCCAAGAAAUUCCUCUCUUUAUUUCUCUGGAAUGAAAUGAAUUCUCUAGACGACCAGUUCUAACCUUCAAAAACCAAACCUGUUUGUGAGAUCUCCUUCAAAUACUACUGUAGACCCCAG
This 726-nucleotide long non-coding RNA is filed under the name Homo sapiens (human). RNAcentral's name for it is "LHRI_LNC522.8". Lineage: Eukaryota; Metazoa; Chordata; Mammalia; Primates; Hominidae. The record is from RNAcentral.